GGACGAAAGGGCAAACCCGGGGCGACCCGGGGGCGCAAAGCCAACGGGCCUCAAAAACCGAAAUACCUGAGGUGGCCGGGCUGCCGAAA
RNAcentral lists this non-coding RNA (89 nucleotides) under Candidatus Acetothermia bacterium. Its description in RNAcentral is "Acetothermia bacterium c-di-GMP sequence". It matches the Rfam family "c-di-GMP-I-GGC riboswitch aptamer". Lineage: Bacteria; Candidatus Bipolaricaulota. The record is from RNAcentral.